This 482-nucleotide ribosomal RNA is filed under the name uncultured bacterium. RNAcentral describes it as "partial 16S ribosomal RNA". It matches the Rfam family "Bacterial small subunit ribosomal RNA", at positions 30 to 507 of the family's 1533-position model. The record is from RNAcentral.
AUUGAACGCUGGCGGCAUGCCUUACACAUGCAAGUCGAACGGUAACAGGUCUUCGGAUGCUGACGAGUGGCGAACGGGUGAGUAAUACAUCGGAACGUGCCCGAUCGUGGGGGAUAACGGAGCGAAAGCUUUGCUAAUACCGCAUACGAUCUACGGAUGAAAGCAGGGGACCGCAAGGCCUUGCGCGGACGGAGCGGCCGAUGGCAGAUUAGGUAGCUGGUGGGAUAAAAGCUUACCAAGCCGACGAUCUGUAGCUGGUCUGAGAGGACGACCAGCCACACUGGGACUGAGACACGGCCCAGACUCCUACGGGAGGCAGCAGUGGGGAAUUUUGAACAAUGGGCGAAAGCCUGAUCCAGCCAUGCCGCGUGAAGGAUGAAGGCCUUCGGGUUGUAAACUGCUUUUGUACGGAACGAAAAGACUCUUUCUAAUAAAGAGGGUCCAUGACGGUACCGUAAGAAUAAGCACCGGCUAACUACGUG